Molecule: unclassified non-coding RNA, 377 nt
Filed under: Hevea brasiliensis (rubber tree)
Lineage: Eukaryota; Viridiplantae; Streptophyta; Magnoliopsida; Malpighiales; Euphorbiaceae
Source: RNAcentral
GAAUAUGCCAAUAAGCUUGAGCAGGUAUUUUUCCUUGCAGAAGCUUUAGCUAAGCACAUGAUUGAAACAAAUCAGGCUAAACUGUUAAAAAGUGACCUGCCUUUUUUAAUUUUGCUUAGGCGAUUUUGGUUUAAAAUUUUACCAAUUAAUGGAAGCAAAGUUGGAACGUGCAUCUUUAAUGAUUGUAUUUAUGAUAUAAUCCAACUUCAAAAUGUCUUUUAACUACUGGAUUGGGUUAUAUGUGUGAAUGAACAUGACUAAUUUUGCGAGGUGAUCAUGUUCUAUUCCUGGUUUUGAUAAACUAUAAUACAUCUGAAUUCAAAACUUGUGUGGCAUGUCAUGCCUGAUGCCUAAGUCCCAAGAACGGGCUAGGAAAC